Molecule: signal recognition particle RNA, 96 nt
Filed under: Candidatus Dadabacteria bacterium
Lineage: Bacteria; Pseudomonadati; Thermodesulfobacteriota; Candidatus Dadabacteria
Description: signal recognition particle sRNA small type
Rfam family: Bacterial small signal recognition particle RNA
About the family: The signal recognition particle (SRP) is a universally conserved ribonucleoprotein involved in the co-translational targeting of proteins to membranes.
Source: RNAcentral
GGUCGGGACCCGCGCGACGGCCGUCUGUGAACCCGGUCAGGCCCGGAAGGGAGCAGCCGUAGCAGAUUGCCGGGCGCCGCGGAUCUCCCGGCCGAU